GGUCACCGAGAGAAACUCGAGCGCUUAUCAAGAGGCAAAUGGGAUUCUGAUUGCUUGCUGAUUGAUGGAAUGGUUUCCCAGUUGGGAGAGGAAGUGGAGAAGUUGUGGCAGAGGGAUGAAGGCGGCACUGGGAAAUACCCACCUGUUAGUUUACAUGCACUGCUGGAUCUCUAUUUGCUAGAAAGCAUUGAAGAGAGCGACAAACAUGCAAUUGUAUCCUUUCCAGAUUCUGUUAUUUCUCCUUCAGUCUGUGCACAUAAAAGUUUUUACAUCUUUGUCACCUGUGUGCUUAACAGCACUUUUAAAUUUAUGCCUCAAACACAGCUUGAGUAAACACAUUUAGGAUAGCAUUAAGUCCUAGACAGAAGCAUUGUUUAAUUUCUUUCUAGAUUGGCAUUUUUCUGAUUUAAUUUUUAAUUGUUUUGUUCCAAAGUCUCUUCUCACAUAGGAAAACAUGUUCUCUAAGUUAUUCAAGAUAAAAACCUUGCUUAUUUGUUCUCAAAUUUUAACACAGUUACUAAUUUUUUAAGACACUCCUAUAUGUAGCAAUAGACUGCUUAUUAGAGUGGUGCCCUAAAAUGUAUUGUUUCAUAGCAAAACGGUUUGUAACUUUGGUUUUCCAGUUGCUAAUUUUUGCCAAAAUCAUUUGUUUCCCAGCUCAGCUGACACUGUUUGUUUUUGGGGUAUUUUUUGGCGUAAAAAGUGCAGGCACACGGAAUAUUCAUUGGGCAGAAGCCUAAUUUUUAGGCUUCUGGAGCAUGUAGAAUUGACUUUGUUGUUUGUUGGCUAAACCAAGAGUGGAGCCUGGAGAGCAAAGGGUUAAAAAUGGUUGUAGUCCCAAGCUGCCUUACUCAGACAUGUCCCUAACAUGGGAUGUCGGAAAGGGAAGAUGACACAUUGAGUGUGGGAUCCACAUGCAGUUUGAACAGUUUCAAUCAGGCAGUUGCUUUGUAAGGGCACCGUAAUUUGUGUUGGUUUUGUGAAGACAGGAAAUGAGGAAAAAAAAACAGCUUUAGAGCUGUAGAGCUUGUUUUCUUGAAUAAUUAAGCAUUGGAUGUUGAAGUGUGUUGAGUGUGCAACUGGUAGCUUCAGUGACGGAAGCAGAAUCCUGAGUUUAUAACAGCAGUAUAUAAACACCCAAUAUCUGCCUUUUUGACUGCCUUCCAGAAAUCCACAAGUGU
Passer montanus (Eurasian tree sparrow) is the source of this 1181-nucleotide long non-coding RNA. RefSeq lists it as uncharacterized. The record is from RefSeq and is a predicted model, not a curated record. NCBI's taxonomy places the organism in Eukaryota, Metazoa, Chordata, Aves, Passeriformes, Passeridae. The transcript has 3 exons.